AAUAAGACAAACCCUGGGUUUCCGUGUCCAACAUUUGACUGUCUGUUUUAUAUGAAAUAUUUUUAUAAUUAGUAUUUUCAUUGUUGUUAGAUGAUAAAACAUGAUUAAUACUUUAUGCGUGACUUGCAUUUUUAAUAUUUUUCAUAAUUUUUUCAAAUAAGACGGACGGUCAAAUGUUGGACACGGAAACCCAAGGUUUGUCUUUUU
MicroRNA precursor from Oryza rufipogon (brownbeard rice), 207 nucleotides. It matches the Rfam family "MIR812 microRNA precursor family". NCBI's taxonomy places the organism in Eukaryota, Viridiplantae, Streptophyta, Magnoliopsida, Poales, Poaceae. The record is from Rfam.